This 387-nucleotide ribosomal RNA is filed under the name uncultured bacterium. Its description in RNAcentral is "bacterial SSU rRNA". It matches the Rfam family "Bacterial small subunit ribosomal RNA", at positions 30 to 420 of the family's 1533-position model. The record is from RNAcentral.
AUUGAACGCUGGCGGCAGGCCUAACACAUGCAAGUCGAGCGGUAGAGAGGUGCUUGCAUCUCUUGAGAGCGGCGGACGGGUGAGUAAUGCCUAGGAAUCUGCCUAGUGUGGGGGAUAACGUUCGGAAACGGACGCUAAUACCGCAUACGUCCUACGGGAGAAAGCGGGGGAUCUUCGGACCUCGCGCCAUUAGAUGAGCCUAGGUCGGAUUAGCUAGUUGGUGAGGUAAUGGCUCACCAAGGCGACGAUCCGUAACUGGUCUGAGAGGAUGAUCAGUCACACUGGAACUGAGACACGGUCCAGACUCCUACGGAGGCAGCAGUGGGGAAUAUUGGACAAUGGCGAAGACCUGAUCCAGCAAUGCCGCGUGCAGGAUGAAGGCCUCGG